CACGUAGUUAGCCGUGGCUUAUUCAAGAGGUACCGUCUUCUGCUCUUCCCUCUUAAAAGAAGUUUACAACCCGAAAGCCUUCUUCCUUCACGCGGCGUUGCUGGGUCAGGCUUGCGCCCAUUGCCCAAUAUUCCCCACUGCCGCCUCCCGUAGGAGUCUGGGCCGUAUCUCAGUCCCAAUGUGGCCGGUCAACCUCUCAGUCCGGCUACUGAUCGUCGCCUAGGUGGGCCGUUACCCCGCCUACUAGCUAAUCAGACGCGAGGCCAUCUUCCAGCGAUAAAUCUUUGGUGUCUCGAUGAUGCCAUCGAAACACAUCAUGCGGUAUUAGCAGUCGUUUCCAACUGUUGUCCCCCUCUGGAAGGCAGGUUCCUCACGCGUUACUCACCAGUCCGCCACUAAGCAUUCCCUUCCAUUGUCUGAAAACUCUUUCAGGGGUGCUCCGUUCGACUUGCAUGUGUUAAGCACGCCGCCAGCGUUCGUCCCGAGCCAGACUCAAACUCU
RNAcentral lists this ribosomal RNA (501 nucleotides) under uncultured Oscillibacter sp. RNAcentral describes it as "partial 16S ribosomal RNA". Lineage: Bacteria; Bacillati; Bacillota; Clostridia; Eubacteriales; Oscillospiraceae. The record is from RNAcentral.